GAUGAACGCUGGCGGCGUGCCUAAUACAUGCAAGUCGAGCGAACAGACGAGGAGCUUGCUCCUCUGACGUUAGCGGCGGACGGGUGAGUAACACGUGGAUAACCUACCUAUAAGACUGGGAUAACUUCGGGAAACCGGAGCUAAUACCGGAUAAUAUAUUGAACCGCAUGGUUCAAUAGUGAAAGACGGUUUUGCUGUCACUUAUAGAUGGAUCCGCGCCACAUUAGCUAGUUGGUAAGGUAACGGCUUACCAAGGCAACGAUGCGUAGCCGACCUGAGAGGGUGAUCGGCCACACUGGAACUGAGACACGGUCCAGACUCCUGCGGGAGGCAGCAGUAGGGAAUCUUCCGCAAUGGGCGAAAGCCUGACGGAGCAACGCCGCGUGAGUGAUGAAGGUCUUCGGAUCGUAAAACUCUGUUAUUAGGGAAGAACAAAUGUGUAAGUAACUAUGCACGUCUUGACGGUACCUAAUCAGAAAGCCACGGCUAACUACGUG
RNAcentral lists this ribosomal RNA (497 nucleotides) under uncultured bacterium. Its description in RNAcentral is "partial 16S ribosomal RNA". It matches the Rfam family "Bacterial small subunit ribosomal RNA", at positions 28 to 507 of the family's 1533-position model. The record is from RNAcentral.